AUGUUCUUCUGCCGCCCCCUACGCCUCCGUCGGCCUACCAUUGCGGAGAAGUUCAUAUCUUGGGAGAGCAGCCUAGCUCUGCCUAGAGAAGUCGUCGGUGGUGCCAUCUUCACAGAUUGUCCGUGUGGAAGCAGAUUUGUUGCUACAGCUCGACUCGCAACAGGUUCAUCCACCAUGGUAACCGCUAACACCGGCGCCAAAGAAGAAACCCCCAUCGGCUGCGGCAAGGCACUUGACGAAGCAGCUGGCGGCUUGGCGUAUGAGUGGCUCUACGAGGGAUUUUUAUGUGUUAAUAUUUGGAAUUACUUAAACAUGUAUGCAUACCUCUACGGACACUCCUCAGUGUUGUCUACUAUGAGGAAAAUGAAGCAAGGCAAUGCACGGAUUGGUGGGUUAGUUUCUUAA
RNAcentral lists this ribosomal RNA (405 nucleotides) under Triticum aestivum (bread wheat). RNAcentral's name for it is "partial small subunit ribosomal RNA". Lineage: Eukaryota; Viridiplantae; Streptophyta; Magnoliopsida; Poales; Poaceae. The record is from RNAcentral.